CCUACGGGUGGCAGCAGUGGGGAAUAUUGCACAAUGGGGGAAACCCUGAUGCAGCGACGCCGCGUGAGUGAAGAAGUAUUUCGGUACGUAAAGCUCUAUCAGCAGGGAAGAAAAUGACGGUACCUGACUAAGAAGCCCCGGCUAACUACGUGCCAGCCGCCGCGGUAAUACGUAGGGGGCAAGCGUUAUCCGGAUUUACUGGGUGUAAAGGGAGCGUAGACGGCAGCGCAAGUCUGGAGUGAAAUCCCAUGGCUUAACCAUGGAACUGCUUUGGAAACUGUGCAGCUAGAGUGCAGGAGAGGUAAGCGGAAUGCCUAGUGUAGCGGUGAAAUGCGUAGAUAUUAGGAGGAACACCAGUGGCGAAGGCGGCUUACUGGACUGUAACUGACGUUGAGGCUCGAAAGCGUGGGGAGCAAACAGGAUUAGAUACCCCGGUAGUC
This 440-nucleotide ribosomal RNA is filed under the name uncultured bacterium. RNAcentral's name for it is "partial 16S ribosomal RNA". It matches the Rfam family "Bacterial small subunit ribosomal RNA", at positions 338 to 795 of the family's 1533-position model. The record is from RNAcentral.